UUGGACCUUUAUCCUCCUCAUUUGCAAUCCCUAAUCAAUGAAGCAAAUGAAUGGAUAUAUGAUGGAAUAAACAACGGAGUGUAUCAAUGUGGUUUUGCAAAGAAGCAAGAGCCUUAUGAUGAGGCUGUGCAAAAAGUAUACAAAGCUUUGGACAAAUGUGAGGAGAUACUGAGCAAGCAGAGAUACAUAUGUGGAGAUCAAGUGACUGAAGCAGAUAUUCGCUUGUUUGUCACCCUGAUUAGGUUUGAUGAGGUGUAUGCUGUCUACUUCAAGUGCAAUAAGAAGCUACUUCGUGAAUAUCCAAAUCUGUUUAAUUACACCAAAGAUAUUUUCCAAAUACCCGGCAUGAGCAGUACGGUCAACAUGGAACACAUCAAAAAGCAUUACUAUAGGAGCCAUCCUAGCAUCAAUCCUUUCGGAAUCAUUCCCCAGGGUCCAAAUAUCGACUAUUCCUCUCCACAUGAUCGAGAGAAGUUCUCUAAGUAGGAUUGGUACAUAAUCUGAGCAUGCAUUUCAAACUCCGGUCAUCCUUUUCACUCCUUAAGGUUCAAGGAGUAUGUGGAGUUGCUACAAGUACUGAUGCUGCCUCAAUCUUCGGCUUUUUAUAGCGUAAAUUAUCUUAUAAGAGAUGUAAGUUGUGCUAGUUUUUUUUUUUGUAAAGUAA
Molecule: unclassified non-coding RNA, 664 nt
Filed under: Hevea brasiliensis (rubber tree)
Lineage: Eukaryota; Viridiplantae; Streptophyta; Magnoliopsida; Malpighiales; Euphorbiaceae
Source: RNAcentral